This 165-nucleotide ribosomal RNA is filed under the name Escherichia coli. RNAcentral's name for it is "partial 23S ribosomal RNA". It matches the Rfam family "Bacterial large subunit ribosomal RNA", at positions 2778 to 2925 of the family's 2925-position model. The record is from RNAcentral. Lineage: Bacteria; Pseudomonadati; Pseudomonadota; Gammaproteobacteria; Enterobacterales; Enterobacteriaceae.
CAUCUAAGCACGAAACUUGCCCCGAGAUGAGUUCUCCCUGACUCCUUGAGAGUCCUGAAGGAACGUUGAAGACGACGACGUUGAUAGGCCGGGUGUGUAAGCGCAGCGAUGCGUUGAGCUAACCGGUACUAAUGAACCGUGAGGCUUAACCUUACAACGCCGAAG